Molecule: long non-coding RNA, 9273 nt
Filed under: Zostera marina
Lineage: Eukaryota; Viridiplantae; Streptophyta; Magnoliopsida; Alismatales; Zosteraceae
Description: long non-coding RNA (ZMAR_LNC001940)
Source: RNAcentral
GGGAUUUCUUCUCGAUCUUCGUCUGACAGCGCCGAUCCUCUCCCUCCGGCCGAUUUCGCGCUGUUACAGAUGGUUAACUUAAAAAAUAACAGUGCUUAUGACUUAAAUGCUAGCUCUGGUCAUAAAAUGAAGAAAUAACAGGCAUAUUCGUUGAUGUAUAUUUUUUCCAGGGAACCAUGAGAAACUUUCUCUUUCGUCCUAGAGAAACUCUGGCAUACCGUCGUUAUAUUGAAUUUUUUGAUAAAUCGAGAAGAUCAUUCAGCACACAAGCUAAAUCCCAAGUCGAACCUCCGCCGCCAUCACCGCCACCUGAGAAAACACACUUUGGUAAUUUGAAAGAUGAAGACCGAAUCUUCACCAAUCUCCAUGGUGUAUUUAAUCCUUAUCUCAAAGGAGCCGUCCAGCGCGGUGACUGGUAUAGAACGAAGGAUUUGGUUCUGAAAGGUUCAGAUUGGAUUGUGGAUGAAAUGAAGAAAUCCGGCCUACGGGGUCGAGGAGGUGCUGGAUUCCCAUCUGGUCUGAAGUGGUCUUUCAUGCCAAAAGUAUCCGACGGACGUCCUUCGUAUCUUGUCGUGAAUGCCGAUGAAAGUGAACCAGGGACCUGCAAAGAUCGGGAGAUAAUGCGUCACGAUCCUCACAAACUACUUGAGGGAUGCUUGAUCGCUGGAGUUGGGAUGAGAGCAUCUGCAGGUUACAUCUACAUUAGAGGUGAGUACGUGAACGAGCGUAAGAACCUUGAGAAGGCCAGGAAAGAAGCUUAUAAAGCUGGAUUGUUGGGGAAAAAUGCAUGUGGAUCUGGAUAUGAUUUCGAUGUUUACAUUCAUUAUGGUGCCGGAGCCUACAUUUGUGGUGAAGAGACGGCCCUAUUAGAGAGUCUCGAAGGAAAGCAAGGCAAACCGAGAUUAAAGCCUCCCUUUCCUGCCAAUGCCGGUUUAUACGGUUGUCCCACAACCGUUACCAAUGUGGAAACUGUAGCUGUGUCGCCUACUAUUCUCAGACGUGGGCCCGAAUGGUUUGCUAGUUUUGGUCGUAAGAACAAUUCAGGGACCAAGCUUUUUUGCAUCUCCGGUCAUGUGAACAAACCAUGCACAGUUGAAGAAGAAAUGAGCAUACCGUUGAAGGAGCUUUUAGAAAGACACUGCGGUGGGGUUCGAGGUGGGUGGGACAAUCUACUUGCCGUGAUACCUGGAGGUUCAUCCGUCCCUCUUUUACCAAAACACAUUUGCGAUGAUGUGAUGAUGGACUUUGAUGCCCUGAAGGCUGUAGAGUCAGGAUUGGGGACAGCAGGUGUUAUUGUGCUGGACAAAUCUUGUGAUGUGGUUGAUGCAAUUGCGAGGCUAUCUUAUUUCUACAAGCACGAGAGUUGUGGGCAGUGCACACCAUGCAGGGAAGGGACUGGAUGGUUGUGGAUGAUCAUGGAGAGGUUGAAAGUGGGAAAUGCGAAGCUUGAGGAAAUUGAUAUGCUUCAGGAAAUAACGAAACAGAUUGAAGGGCACACAAUUUGUGCACUAGGAGACGCUGCCGCAUGGCCUGUGCAGGGUCUUAUAAGGCAUUUCAGGCCGGAACUUGAGAGGCGUAUUCGAGAACGUGCUGAGAAAGAGUUGGCUGAAGUUGCUACUGCUUCUGUCUAAAUCUAUUCGUUCAAUGCUCAUAAUAUUAUUCCAUACUUGCCUAAUUUCAUUAUUUAUUUAUUACUUAUCUAUCUAUAUUUUUUUCCCAUUCUUCAACCUUGAUAUGUAAAAAACAGUGGAUUGCUGUUUUUUUUGUUAAAUAAUUAUUUUUGAAAACUUGAAGCUAGAAUCAAUUGUCUUUUUUUCAAUCAUCUUGGUCUGUUCAUCUUUGACCAACAGAACUGAUGAGCAAAUAACCUUGAAAGUAGAGGAAUUUGUGAUGGCAAUCUUGGAAACAGUGUGAUGAUUAGAAAGUAAUUUUUGAAUUCCAACAGCAUUUGCUUCUGAAAUUGGGGCUUCCAGCUGAUGUUCAAUUUCUGAUACACCAAUGCAAAAAGCAAUCAAUAUUAUCUGUUAUUCUAUCUAUGCUUUACAUUCAUUUCAGCAAUGAAUGAUGAAUAUAUUCUCUUCCACAGACAUUUUUUAAUCAACCUCUGUUUUCUGCAACAUGAUAGGAAUUUGAGAAUGAGUUUUUCAAAGUGCUGCAAUUACAUCUAAUCUCAGUCAGAAAAGCUCAUCUUCCUUAACUCCCUCCCUUUACCCUAUUCUUCUCUGGUCUCAUCAAGGAGGUGCAAACUAAUCAAGCUUUGAACUAUGAAGCUAAGCUGGAACUGGUGAAGCUUGAGUUAGGUUGGUUUUACAAAAACUGGUCAAUGUAAAGGAUUUAAUUGACAAUUUUAGGUAUUUUAAUCUUUUGCACUUAUUAAUUUCAGUUUUAUCAUAUCAAUUCCUAUAAUUUGACUUUGAAUUUUCUGUUCAAUAGUUUUAGUUUGACUUCCCCAAAAAUAUCUAAUUUUAAGUUAUUUGUGGAUUUGUAUCUUAAAUUUUAUCUCAAGUAAUCUCAUUCCAAUUCUUACACACCACAUGUAAAUGAUCUGCAAUUUUGGAAGACUUUUUUUUCAAAAUCACUUACCCACAAAAUAAAAACAUAGCAAUUUGCAAGGAGUGCUUCUCAAGUCAAAGGAGUUUGAGGAGUUUAAAGUAAAAAUUGUAAAAAAAUCAUUAGAAAAGUUAUAAUAGUUAUUUAUGGCACAUUUGUUCUGAAAAAAACAGAAGACUCCACCAGCAUCCUCUCAUACUUCCAGAAGUUGUUUUAACUGAUGUAGUAAAGGACUGCAGAAUAUCUUUUAGAGCUGAUAUCUUUAAAAAAGAAUGUGAUUCACAAUUAGUAAGAACUACUAUGCAGGUUUGGAAGACAACUCUUUUGAGAUCUAAUUCUUAGUUAGUGCAUUAGAAAUGCUAACCACAUAGGAAAAGGUCGAUACAGUGGAAAUCACAAUAUUAACCUUACCAAUUCUUUCGUUGAUUUUAAAUUUAAUGGUUCUUUUGAAAUGAUUAAAUAUAAACAGAUUUUAAUGUUUGAAAUGGACAACUAAAAUUAGUGUAAAUCUAUUAUCUAAAUGUUUUAAAUAGACAAUUGAGGUAAUAUGAGAUAUAAAUGAAUGGUGAUGAUUGAAUGAUUUGGUAUAAUCUUAUUUAUCACUAUUAUUAUAAUAAUUUUAAUUGGUUCUCUAUUUGUUUAACGUCUAGGGUUUCUAUCUUUUUGCCGCACUCUUAUUCCACCUCCUUUUAUCUCGUUCAUCUUCCCCCUUUUCGAUUUCCCUUCCGGAGUUCCCAAUCUCACAUGGCGUUGUCGCCCUCCACCAAUUCAAUAACAAUAACAACAACAACCAGAGCUGCGUAUACCUCUUCAAUUCUUUCUCGUUGCUUCUCCGACGAUCUAUCUUCCUCCUUAGCUUUUCGUGUUCGACGUGCUUGGUCUUAAUUCGCGUGGAAAUCUCCUCCUGUUCGGUUGCGUUCUCCUCUUCCUUGCGCUAUGGGUAAAAAAAGUGAGUGUUCCUUUUUUUUUAUCAAUAUAACGUCAGUUGUAGAUUCGGAUUUCGUAUUUGGUUUUAUGAUGGUGUUUUUGUUCGGUCGGUUAAUUGAUUGAUUAUGGACACAGAUCGGAAAACCCGUAGUGCAGUGAAUUAUCCUGAUAUUAUCAGUGAUGAUGAUAGCAUGAGUACGAUCUCUACUGCAUGGUCUGAGCAGUCGACGUUUGGUAAUAAUAAUGAGACAGAGCUGGUUAAUUCUCGCCAGUUUGAACUUGACAAGCAUCUCGAUGCUCUGUACGAGAAACGGUAAUUCUUCUUCUUUAAAUAUUUUUACUGACAGAAAAAAGAUAUACUUCAAGAUUCUAUAUAGCAGUCAUACAUGUAAAUAUGUAAAGACACUUCUUUUUAUCUAAUACACUGAGAACUGCUCAAAAUCGUUGCCUCCCCAAUAUCCUUAAAAUAAAAGAACCACUUACCUUGACAAUUUGCAUCUCUUUUAUGGGUCAUAUGAUAUAUAGCCAUCAUGUUCUAUUGUGUUGAAUUAGUUUCCUUUACCAAAAAUAAUACGAUAAAAAACCCAGUAUAGCAUAUAAUGAGAGCAUAACAUUUUUUUAUGACGCAAUUUUACCUACCAUGUGAUUAAAUCAUGGAAAUUGAAACACAUCUAUUUUUUAUAUUUUGGCAGAAGCUCGACCAGAGAAAAUGCACUCUUGGGACUUGUCAAAGCUUUUGAGAGUGAAAUUCUUCAUGAAUUUGUCGAGAACAAGUAAUAAACUUUUUUAUGGUUAUUCCUAUUUCCUAGUGUUUUAAUGAUAUAUAUUAUUGGCUUUAUUGUGUCACCUGUGUUUUAUUACCAUUCCAUCACUUAGUGUUUUUCAGUGAUGAUGUAAUUGAUACUUUUCCUUUUCAUCUUUUUUUGUAAUGUUGUGUUGUGCAUUUCCUUUCAGAUAUGCUACUUUAUUACAUCAGUUCAUCAACUCUAUAAAGAGGGGGUCGUCCAAAGAAGUUUCUCUAGCUUCACGUGCAAUUGGUUUUCUUCUUGAUCAUUAUGUUGUGUUAUUUCCACCUUCCUUUUAUUUUUGCUCUUCAUUCAUUUCACUUUUUCCUGAAUGCAGGAUUUCUGGCUAUUACUGUUGGAAGUGGUAGCAAUGCACAUGAAAUCAUGACAGAUGCAGUUCAACAUCUCCAUCAAACUCUCAAAUCUGGAUCUGACCCAAGCAAGAAAUCAUCUGUAUGUUAUGUAUACCCUUCCUGAUGUUGACCAAAAUCGGGAAAGUUAUUCAGGCGAUAAUAUAUUAUUCUCUAUAUUCUAAUUAUUCUGUUUAAUAAUUUUCCAGGCUAUUGAAUGCAUAGCUAUUAUUUCUUUUGUUGGGGCCGAUGAUGUGGAAGAAACUGAAAAGUCAAUGCAAAUCAUCUGGGAAAUAAUCAAUCCUAAAUCAGCUUCUAAUGUACAAUGACUUAGAAUAUAUCUUUGAUCUUAGUUCAAUUUUUGAUUGAAUAUCCCAAUAAUCCCAUUCUUUUCUCUUUUCAGGUUACAUUAACGAAGCCCACAUCUGCUGUACUAUCAUCUGCCAUAUUUGCAUGGUCCUUUCUGCUUACUACUGUAAAUCAAUGGAGGAGCAAUUUUACUAAUUGGCAGGGGUAGGUACACUUUAAGUUUCCUAUGUUUUGCAUAUUUUAUAUUUAAAAUCUAAUAUUUUUGUAAUCUAUUUUAACCAGGUCAAUAUCAUUUCUCUCCAAUCUUUUGGAUAAGGAAGAUCGUUCUGUUCGCAUUGCUGCUGGAGAAGCACUUGCCCUUAUCUUUGAAAUAAAUAGAUUUGAAAAAUUCACAAAGGUAAAUGACUCAGAACACCAAGGAGGUAGUAAGCUACCUCAUGAUGGUCUUGCGUAUGUUGAUGUUUUGAAAGGUAAGUUAUUGACCCAAGCAAGAAACCUCUCAAUGGAAGCUGGGGGAAAAGGUUCUACUCGAACUGAUCUCAAUAAUCAACGAGAUCUAUUCCAACGCAUUCUUUCCUUUAUAGAGGUAUAAUUUUUUUCUUAUUUCUUUAUAAUGAAUAUUUAGUUAUUUACUCAACUUUAUAAUGAAUAUAGUUUAUUGAAUUGUUUCUUAAAUUCGACAACAUUCAGACUGGGGAGUUUGAUGAACUCUCGGUGAAAGUCCUUCCUAAUUGCAGUCUAUUGAAGCUAUCAUCGUGGGCUCAAUCUACACAGGUAUAAUUUUUUUAAGGUCCAAACAUAUGCGGUUAUUUCAUUUUUUGUAGUUUUUCUGGGUUACAAUUUGAAGGUUUCUCUAUUUGGCAGUUGAACUUUCUUAAGAGAUUCCUUGGAAGUGGUUAUCUCAUGCAUAUGACGGUAAUUUUCUUAGUGUUUAAAAUUUAGGCUAAUUAAUUUUUUUUUUAAAUCCUGAUACAACUAUUAUUUAUUUUGUAGGAUAAUAGUCUUCUUCAUGAAGUUUUUAACUACACCCCGGAGAAAAGAAAAAAUUUAUCUGUGAAGGAAAAGGUAAUAUAUUGAUGUUUUACUUUUUAUUCGUAUUUUUUGUAAAAAAUAGAUGUAGCCUUUCUUUGAAAGGUUAAAACCUUUAGAUAUAUACCAGGGUUCACUUAAUAUAAUACCAUGGGUAGUUUUAAAGUGUGUAUGUAUUAUAUAAUGUAGUAUGUCUACUGCAUAAUACCUCCAUAUACUGUAAUAUAAUGUAGUAUGUUUCUGAUAAUACCCUUAUCAGAAAUAAAACUCAUAAUCUCGUACAAAGAUUUACUGUCAUAAGAUCACUUGAGCGAUAAUUUUUUUUUUUUUUUUAAUAAAGAAAAUAAUACAUGCUUUAUGUUUACUGCAACAAUUAUCUAUUUUACUUUUUUUGUUGCAGAGGGUUUACAUGUCACCGAAUUCAGCUGUAAGUAAAGAAAGGACUCAGUAUUUGAAUAAGCAUCGCACUAUGUCUCAGGUACGUAGUUUUUUUUCAUACAUAUUUGAAAUAUCCAGUGAAUUGGUGAAAUAUGUUUGGAUUUGUUUCCCAAAUUGCGUCAGUUUAAAAUUUUAUACUUCCAUAAAAAUGGACAGAAUUGAUGAUUCCACAAUUACCAAAAUCUUGAGCUUCUUUAAAUCAUAACACAAUUGAUGAUUCCACAUCUAAAAAUGAUCUAAAGUGUGUGUUUCAUUUUCUUGAGAAUUUUGCCUAACUUAUUUAAAAUCAAACCCUGAUUAAUACUUCCACAUCUAAAAAGGGUAUUUUGUAACAUACAGGAUAGGAACCAUGGUAUCUUUGCGGCCGACUAUGAAGAACUCUAAAGUGCGUCUGGCUGAUACACAUUUUUUUAUGGUGGCCAAAAUUAUUAUUACAAUGAUUGCUGGAAAGAAUAAUCUAUUACUCUGAGAGUUAUUUUAAAAUAAUUAUAAUGAUGUGAUGAUGAAUAGUAGUAAUAUGUUUGGGUCAAUUACCCUCUUUUAGUCUUCAUUGAUCUAUUAGUCUUCAUUGAUCUAUUAGUCUGUCUCCUUAAUUGUUUGUUCUUAAUAUCGUGUUUGUAAAACAUUUUAACAUUCUAUUUGAUUUUGUAUUUUUAUCGGCUACAAAAUGUUUCUACUUGGUUUAAUUAUUUAAAUCUUGUUGAUAAUUACUCAAUUAGAUUUUUCGAAUCAGAUACAGUCUUUUUUUAGACCUUUACCUUCUCAUUCUCUUCUCUCACGUUUUGUCUUAUUUGAGAUCAAAGGUACAAGUGUGCAAUUAAUUAUACAAGAAAUUUAUCGAUCAACCAUACGAUACAGAUUCGAUGGCUGUGAUGCGUCAAAUAAAAUAAAUGGAUAGCAAUUGUUUUGGGGGUAUGUUUGAGAUUUGGGGGAUCUAAUUUCUUCUUUUUCUUCCUCAGUUCGUUCCUCCACAUCCCCACUGUGGCUUCACUGCUACGUCGAUUAUCGCCGCUGCAGCUGAGCUAAGAUUGUUUUCCAGGUUCUACAAUCUCACUCAUUUGUCAAUUCGUGUUUUUUUUUGUUUUUUUCCGUAAUAAAUGGGAUGGAUAUAGUAAAUCGUAUAUCACCGAAUUAGGGUUUCGUUUCUUCUUCUUCUAUCGUUUCAUGUUAUGGUCUAAUUGAAUUGUUGUCGUUUUGUAUUUUCUUUUAGACGAUAAGAUUCAAAAUUUGAAUGGUAAAAUUGGGGUUGUUGGGUAGUAAGAGUUUUUGGAUCCCCCCCAAAUCCUUUCUUCCCUAUUUUCCAUAUGCAUAUAAAUACUCCCUGAAUGAGAUCAAUGGUUUUAACUUCUGAUGUGAUGUUUACUUCCAAGGUUUCACCCAUAACUGGAUUAGGAGAUCGGGAAUGAAUAUUUCUGAUAUUUUGAUAAUUGAUUUAAAAACUUCCUUUUCAUGUUUUGUUUGGUCUCUUCUCUUUACAAUUAUUUUAACUUGAAUGUGUUUUGUAAAUUGUAAUAAUGUAAUAUAUAUUUUCUGUUUAUAUUGUGAUUUUUUUAUGAAGAGUGAGUAUUACCAUAAUUUUUAAAUGACAUGGAAGUAUGGAAUUGUUCAAAAUUCAUGAUAGACAAAAAAAGUGAGUUAUUACUUUAAAUGGAUUUAUAGUUAUUACUCUGCAAGUAGUUUAGUUUUUUAAUUUAAUUGAUGUAAUCUUUAUAGUCGUAAUUGACUGGCUGAUUUCAUAUAAAUAAAAGAAAAAAUUCCAUUUGGAAGAAAAAAAUCAUAGUUUACAAAGGGAUAAAACUAUGGGAAUAUGAAACGAACUGCCUUUUUUUACCAUGGAUUUCUAGGAGAAUAUAAUGUUCGAUCAAAACUGAUGGAACUUUUGUGGAUUUAGAACACCACCAAUAGUAUUGAACACUUGAACUUCAAAGAAGUUCUGACUAAAUUGCUGGAAAACUGGGAAUCACUUAGAUGUUUCUGCCUAGCUAGAGCUCAAAUAAACAACAAGAAACUUGCACAACAAUAGAUAAAUUAUAUUAUAUUACCAUUGAUAAUAAUAAUAACUUUUAUUGAAUAACCGUAUAUAUUGAGUUAUCUUUUAUUUAAUGAUUCCUACGACACUCUGAUCACUAGAUGAAGUAAAAAUUAAACAUAAAAAUAAAUCACUGUUUCUGUGAACAGAUAUGUGUAUUCUUUGAUGAUUUUCUAAUUCUUUUAAUUAUAUAAUGUAUAUUUUCUCCAGGGAAUCAUGAGGAACCUUCUCUUUCGCCCAAGAAAAAUUCUGGCGUACCGUCGUUACAUUGAAUUUUUUGAUAAAUCAGGAAGAUCAUUCAGCACACAAGUUGCCACCCCCACUGGAGCUAAAUCUCAAGUCGAACCUCCGCCGCCGCCGCCGCCGCCACCUGAAAAAACACACUUUGGUAAUUUGAAAGAUGAAGACCGAAUCUUCACCAAUCUCUAUGGUGUACAUACUCCUUUUCUCAAAGGGGCCAUGCAGCGCGGUGACUGGUAUAGAACGAAGGAUUUGGUUCUGAAAGGUUCAGAUUGGAUUGUGAAUGAAAUGAAGAAAUCUGGCCUACGGGGUCGAGGAGGUGCUGGAUUCCCAUCUGGUCUGAAGUGGUCUUUCAUGCCAAAAGUAUCCGACGGACGCCCUUCCUAUCUUGUUGUGAAUGCCGAUGAAAGUGAACCAGGGACCUGCAAAGAUCGAGAGAUAAUGCGUCACGAUCCUCACAAACUACUUGAGGGAUGCUUGAUAGCUGGAGUUGGGAUGCGAGCAUCUGCAGCUUACAUCUACAUUAGAGGUGAGUACGUGAACGAGCGUAAGAACCUUGAGAAGGCCAGGAAAGAAGCUUAUAAAGCUGGAUUGUUGGGGAAAAAUGCAUGUGGAU